RNAcentral lists this ribosomal RNA (614 nucleotides) under uncultured bacterium. RNAcentral's name for it is "bacterial SSU rRNA". It matches the Rfam family "Bacterial small subunit ribosomal RNA", at positions 56 to 718 of the family's 1533-position model. The record is from RNAcentral.
UGCAGUCGACGAAGCCUUUGGGCUUAGUGGCGCACGGGUGCGUAACGCGUGGGAAUCUGCCCUUGGGUUCGGAAUAACAGUUAGAAAUGACUGCUAAUACCGGAUGAUGUCUUCGGACCAAAGAUUUAUCGCCCAAGGAUGAGCCCGCGUCGGAUUAGCUAGUUGGUGAGGUAAAGGCUCACCAAGGCGACGAUCCGUAGCUGGUCUGAGAGGAUGAUCAGCCACACUGGGACUGAGACACGGCCCANACUCCUACGGGAGGCAGCAGUGGGGAAUAUUGGACAAUGGGCGAAAGCCUGAUCCAGCAAUGCCGCGUGAGUGAUGAAGGCCUUAGGGUUGUAAAGCUCUUUUACCCGGGAUGAUAAUGACAGUACCGGGAGAAUAAGCCCCGGCUAACUCCGUGCCAGCAGCCGCGGUAAUACGGAGGGGGCUAGCGUUGUUCGGAAUUACUGGGCGUAAAGCGCACGUAGGCGGCUUUGUAAGUUAGGGGUGAAAGCCCAGAGCUCAACUCUGGAACUGCCCUUAAGACUGCAUCGCUUGAAUCAUGGAGAGGUUAGUGGAAUUCCGAGUGUAGAGGUGAAAUUCGUAGAUAUUCGGAAGAACACCAGUGGCGA